Molecule: ribosomal RNA, 775 nt
Filed under: uncultured Neocallimastigales
Lineage: Eukaryota; Fungi; Neocallimastigomycota; Neocallimastigomycetes; Neocallimastigales
Description: partial large subunit ribosomal RNA
Rfam family: Eukaryotic large subunit ribosomal RNA
Source: RNAcentral
UGUACACGCUGUGACUAGCAUAUCAAUAAGCGGAGGAAAAGAAACUAACAAGGAUUCCCUCAGUAACGGCGAGUGAAGCGGGAAGAGCUCAAAUUUGAAAUCUUGAAAGGUCACCUUUCACGAAUUGUAGUUUAAAGAAGUGUUUUCUGUUACGAUCGUAAUAUAAGUUCUUUGGAAUAGGACAUCACAGAGGGUGAGAAUCCCGUCUAUGAUUGCGAUUUGUAGCUUUGUGAUACACUUUCAAAGAGUCGGGUUGUUUGGGAAUGCAGCCCAAAACGGGAGGUAAAUUUCUUCUAAGGCUAAAUAUUGGCGAGAGACCGAUAGCGAACAAGUACCGUGGGGGAAAGAUGAAAAGAACUUUGAAAAGAGAGUUAAACAGUACGUGAAAUUGUCAAAAGGGAAGCGUUUGACACCAGUGUUGUUUUCUCGAAAAUCAAUUAAAAAUGGCUCGAUUUUGUAUUGCUGAGACCUUAAAAGCUCACUGUACAUUUUUCGUGUCUUUUUUAAUGCACUUUUCGUUUAACAAGUCAACAUCAGUUUCUUUUGUUGUAAAAGGGUCAUUGGAAGGUGGCUUUCUUUUCGGAGAAAGUGUUUAUAGCCUUUGGCCUCUGCAAUCGGAGAGUCUGAGGUCUGCAGCGUAGACUCUUCGGGGUUAGAUACAUUUGUGCUAAGUUAUAGCUUUUUAUAGACAACUUGUUGACUAUAAUUAGUCUUGUAGCUUACUCGCUUAUGCUAUUUUACCUACGCUUAGGAUGUUGAGUAGCGACAUACGCAC